This is a non-coding RNA of Chroicocephalus ridibundus (black-headed gull), 611 nucleotides long. The record is from the annotation of a RefSeq genome assembly. NCBI's taxonomy places the organism in Eukaryota, Metazoa, Chordata, Aves, Charadriiformes, Laridae.
AUGUCGACAUGCACCUCGGAUCUCUCAUCCUCACGGCCUUCCUGGGGCAACUGCUGGGCACCAUGGGACAGACCACUGUCACCCAGCAAGAAGCACAAGUCACAGUGAAGCAGGGAGACACCUUCCAGACAACAUGCACAUACCAGACCUCCUACUUUCAAGGCUUGCUCUGGUACCAGCAGAGGAAAGGCCAAGGUCCCCAGCUGGUCUCCCAUCAGGCAACUGCUGGCCGCAAGCCCAGUGGCCGUCUCACCACCGUGCUGAACACCAUGGAGAAAUACAGCCUCCUGCAGCUGGAGGAAGUCGAGCUCUCUGACAGUGCCUUGUACCUCUGUGCUGUGCAAGACACAGUGCACUGGAGCAGCCGGGAGAGCCAGAGGAGUGGUGGCAGAAGGCUGUGCCCAGCACUGCACAGGCACCGGGAGGACAAGCCUUGUGCCCGGAGAGGCUCUCAGAAAGGCUGGCAUUCAGUUCCCCCCAACUGGGACCUGCCUCCCGUGGAAGGAGUCCCUCUCCCAGCUGUGGUCUGCAAGGGCAGCAUCAGGAAGCAAGGUGCCAGCCAGACGAGUUUGUUAGAAAUCUUCUCAGAAAGCGGCUGCAGCAUUGCUUAG